AGGCAUGCGGGUUUAUUGUUAGAAUUAAUGGACUAUUAAUAAGAAAUGUAGAUAAUGUAUGCUGCAGAGCUUUGAAAAUCCUGAAACACACCCUAAGGGUUAUGGAAUUUACAUCUUUCAUAGCUUCUAUUAUUUCUUCACUAGUUUGCAGCUAUGCCCACACCUGGAAGGUGACAAAAGGUGGAGUUUACUUUCUCGCCCGUGUCAGCAGUCAUACGGUGGAAUCCAUGAAAAUUGGAUUUCCUUUUUCUGGUGCGUUUUACUCUUGAACUGUGUAACUGUGGAUAACUUUAAUACUGCCCAUUCUUUGUUUACAGUUAUAUAAUUUCUAUUAGCCUUAAAAGUAACCGAUAUAUUUCUUUUUUAAGGUUUCAGUAUAAAACAUAAUCUGCAUCUUCAUUAUGAAACUCAUAUGCAAUUUUCUUCUAUCUCUAGAAGUUUAGAUUGAGGUUUAAAAGAACCAUUUUCAUUAUCAAGCUUCCCCAUAGUUUCCCACUUUCUUAUUCCAAAUAUUUUUAAAAAUCACACCAAAUAUCAGAGCUUUUAGCAAUAUAAAGAAAGAUUUAUUUUCAAAAGUAGCAAAACUUGUUUGAAAAAAAUAUAUAUCUUUAAGUGAAUUACUUUAUAAAUGUGACUGUCAAAGUCAGCUAUCCUAUGAUCUACAUUUUACAACAUAUUGUACAAAAGAUACAUUGAUAGGCUCUUAUCUAUUUAUAUAUUUAUAAUUACAUAUUGCACUUGGACCAGCAAGGCUUGCAGAGUCAUUCACGGUAGAAGUUAAUAAAGUUAAAUAGAUGGCAAUCUUUGUAAGUACAAUUGAUCUCCUCUGGUUUGGAAACGAAUCUCCUCGUCGUUGUAAAGUGUUCUCGCGGGGUGGGACAGAGAGAGGAGCAUUGCGAGGGGGAAGCAGAGACAGAGAGCACUGAGGGCAGGGGUCGCCUUCCCGGGGCCCGCUCCCCCCGGGAGCGCGCCUUUCCCAGACUCGCACCUCCAAGGUCAGGACGCGGUGGUUCCACAUAAGCGGCUCGCGGUCACCACUUCCUUCAGGUCACUCUCGGGUUUCCCGGCCACCAUAAAGGGCCACGUCUGCGGGAAAGAAGAGGGUGGAGGAGAAAACACGAAUUAAAAUACAGGGAGUAUCAACUGCAUCCUGCCAACACCUCAUAAGACUCCAAGGCUUUACCGAGAUCUUCCACCUUCCCCGGGAUAAAUGAAGACAAGUGCUUCCUAGAAUCUUUAUGGUGAUGGAAAAGUGGAGAUUUAAAUGACCACAUCCACCCUAAGAUUUAUUGUGAGAAUGAUUGAUGUUAUAAACCAGGAAAAGGACUCUUCCCACAGCAGGGAUGACAGAAAUAUCAAGCUGAAGUUGCCUUUGUCUUCACAUACGAAUGACCCAGUACUACAACACAGAAAGUAUAAUAAUUUAAUCUGAGGUUCAAGACAGCAGUGAGAGAACACCCAGCAGGCCUGUUAAAAAUUUCUUCACUAAUUCCUCAACCAGUUUCCUUUGAUUUGCUCUCCCUUUUCUCAGUCUUGGUAAAACAUGAAAGUUAAAGUUAUUUUUAGACUACAGAGCUAUGUGAAAAUGGGCAUUGGCCAAUACUUUGUGAAAUGUGUGUGUGUGUGUGUAGCUACUAAGAUAUCUGCAAAAUAACUACAAAUAAUUAAUUUGGACUCUGGAAUGUGAUAAUUAUUAUAAAUCCAAACUAUGGCCUUACUGCAUACAUUAAGCUGUGAUUUUUCUUGUUGGAGCCAUUUUUUUUUCUUUUUGGCUCUGGGUCUCUGUUACACCUUAGUUAAUGGACUGCUCAGGCUGUCUGGGGAGAUAGUAAAAAUCAUAGUAAUAUGUACCACUGAAAAGAUUUCUGUUGUCUGUAUAUUUUUCAAUGUUGGAAACUUAAAAGUACCAAUUUCUGGAAGCAUGUAAAAUUAGCCUCAUGUCAUAGGAUGGUUUUUAUGCUUAGCAAUUAUUUUUCUUCAUAGCCAUAUAAGAAAUAAUUAAGUCCCAUGUCCAUUUAUCUUGCAGUAAGACAUUUGGGCUGAGAAAGGCUAGUGGGCUGAUAAUAAAUUUUGGAGUGUUUCUAAAAUUCUGUAAAAGAUGGCUUCCAGUUUGGGAGUAAGAGUCAAAGAAUACUGUUGCUUAUGUAUCUUGAUAUGAAGUCUUGGAGAGAGAAUAUUCAUAUGAAAAAUACUUUUUUUCUUUUAAAAUUUUGUGUCUAUCCCUGCUAAUAAACACUUAGGGACAAAUGGGUGGGAGAAAUGACUUCUUGUUGGAUUCUACUGAGCAAGUCAGUUAAGCUGUAACUUAAGCUGUGCCAAAUUCUCCCAAAAUAUAAACUAUAUUCUGUGAGAAGACAAGCACUUUUGAGAAGCUGUAUUAACCCUUUUGGUAAGUUGACCACUUCUGUUCCAAAGCACGAAAUAGAAAACUCGUGAUUUGAAAGUAUGAGAUCAUUUCUAAAAGUUCUUACCUGACUUUUAAGAAGCAGUUAUGCCCCAGAGGCAUCUGGCCAAUUUGCUGCUCACUUCUAACAAUUUGUUUUGCAAGAGAGACUAUCUUUGAAAGAUUUUAGUGCUAAGGAAAUUUUAUCUCUGAAAGCUGUAAAAUGAAGAUUAGGCAUGGAAUGUACCCUUGAACUUAAAUCCUGGUUUAUCAGCUGAUACAUUUACAGGAAGUUCAAAUUUGAUUCAGUUGCACUUGGAUGGAAUAAUUUGCUUCCUUUUUUAUGAGAAGGAAAACAUCAUAGGCUUCCUUUGAACUGACUUCAUAUGCCAUUACAUAAUCUUUCUCAGGGGAAAAAUAUGCCUUUAAAUUUAAAUGUUAAUCCUUUUCUCUUACUCCUCAUCAUUUGGUCAGGAGACACAGGCUGGCAAAUUGGCAAAACUGCCCAUUCUCUUUUUUCUUCAUUUCUAAUUAGCACCGCCAGAUGUUUUAUUCAUUUUAUUUGAUGGUAACUACCACCACUUCAAAUAUUUGCCAACUUUCUAUGCAAGUUGACGCCUUUUUUUUUUUCUUUUUUUGAUGGAGUCUUGCUCUGUCACCCAAGCUGGAGUGCAUCAGCACGAUCUAGGCUCACUGCAACCUCUGCCUCCCAGGUUCAAGAGAUUCUCAUGCCUCAGCCUCCCGAGUAGCUAGAAUUACAGGUGCCUGCCACCAUGCCUAUCAAAUUUUUGUAUUUUUAGUAGAGGUGGGGUUUCACCAUUUUGGCCAGGCUGGUUUCAAACUCCUGAUCUACCCACCUCGGCCUCCCAAAGUGCUGGGAUUACAGGCAUGAGCCACCGUGCCCAGCCAGGUGCCUCUUUUUUGAUUUUACAUAAUUAUCUCCAUAUACUUUGUUUGCUGCUGAUUGAUUGUUGUCUAUCUCCCACUUAUAUGCCUAUCAAACUCUGACUUUGUUUCAUUAAAUUUUAACUUUAUUUAAUAAAGUGGGCAUUACCUCUCUUUGCUCAUUCUAAAUUAUAGUGGUGCUGUCCUGUUAUAUUUUGGCAGCCAAAGUGAAUAUGGCACUAGUGAGCUUGGUGGCUAGCUAAGAAGGUCAAUAACAGUGAUGCUGGGUGUUGCUGCUACCUUUACCUGGCACCAGCUGGGAGACGGUAUAAAUCCUGGAUGGUAUAAAUCCAUUCAGUAAUUAGAAGUCUUCUGCAUGUUCACUAUACCCUAACCCCCUCUUUUCACAUUGAAUUCAGUGAAUUGUAGAUAAGAUGCCACAUUGCUAAGAUUUAAAGGUGGCAAAUAACAACAAUAAAGUCUAGGGAAAGAUUCUGCAUGGUUCUUUGAAUCCAGGAGUUAAUCUUGCAUUUCACAUGUUCCACAAUACAGCUUUGAAAGCAGCCAAGCCUAUGCACUUGAAAGUCAGAGUUUACCCUAAGGUGUAAGUGGGCCAGAGAAAACUCGGGCAGACAAAGAGAGUUAAAAAUUUUGCAAAGCCAGUUUAAUGUCCUCCUAAGUUUUCUAAUACUAGAAUAAUUUUAUUAGACCCUCUCAGUGUUAGGAAAGAGAGAGAAAAGGACUGAGCGACUCCUGAGUCAGGUACCAUGCAGGGACUUUUGCCUCCAUUCUCUCAUUUCAUGUAUUUUCUCUCCUUUCUGUUGGCACUACUAAAGAAAGAGCUGCCACAUGAAAUGAACAGUGUAUUAGAAAUGUAUGCCAGAGGCUUUCCCCUGUAAUAAAGUUUUAGAAAAACUG
RNAcentral lists this non-coding RNA (4186 nucleotides) under Pan troglodytes (chimpanzee). The record is from RNAcentral. Lineage: Eukaryota; Metazoa; Chordata; Mammalia; Primates; Hominidae.